This 477-nucleotide ribosomal RNA is filed under the name Burkholderia sp. AR5(5). RNAcentral's name for it is "bacterial SSU rRNA". It matches the Rfam family "Bacterial small subunit ribosomal RNA", at positions 8 to 479 of the family's 1533-position model. Lineage: Bacteria; Pseudomonadati; Pseudomonadota; Betaproteobacteria; Burkholderiales; Burkholderiaceae. The record is from RNAcentral.
AGAGUUUGAUCCUGGCUCAGAUUGAACGCUGGCGGCAUGCCUUACACAUGCAAGUCGAACGGCAGCACGGGAGCAAUCCUGGUGGCGAGUGGCGAACGGGUGAGUAAUACAUCGGAACGUGUCCUGGAGUGGGGGAUAGCCCGGCGAAAGCCGGAUUAAUACCGCAUACGCUCUAUGGAGGAAAGCGGGGGAUCUUUCGGGACCUCGCGCUCAAGGGGCGGCCGAUGGCAGAUUAGCUAGUUGGUGGGGUAAAGGCCUACCAAGGCGACGAUCUGUAGCUGGUCUGAGAGGACGACCAGCCACACUGGGACUGAGACACGGCCCAGACUCCUACGGGAGGCAGCAGUGGGGAAUUUUGGACAAUGGGCGCAAGCCUGAUCCAGCAAUGCCGCGUGUGUGAAGAAGGCCUUCGGGUUGUAAAGCACUUUUGUCCGGAAAGAAAACCUCUGGGUUAAUACCCCGGGGGGAUGACGUACC